GAUGAACGCUGGCGGCGUGCUUAACACAUGCAAGUCGAACGAAGAUGCCGGAGUGCUUGCACUUUGGCAGACUGAGUGGCGGACGGGUGAGUAACGCGUGGGUAACCUGCCUUAUACAGGGGGAUAACAGUUGGAAACGACUGCUAAUACCGCAUAAGCGCACGGUAUCGCAUGAUACAGUGUGAAAAACUCCGGUGGUAUAAGAUGGACCCGCGUCUGAUUAGCUUGUUGGUGAGGUAACGGCCCACCAAGGCGACGAUCAGUAGCCGGCCUGAGAGGGUGAACGGCCACAUUGGGACUGAGACACGGCCCAAACUCCUACGGGAGGCAGCAGUGGGGAAUAUUGCACAAUGGGGGAAACCCUGAUGCAGCGACGCCGCGUGAGUGAUGAAGUAUUUCGGUAUGUAAAACUCUAUCAGCAGGGAAGAUAAUGUCGGUACCUGACUAAGAAGCACCGGCUAAAUACGUG
RNAcentral lists this ribosomal RNA (469 nucleotides) under uncultured bacterium. RNAcentral describes it as "bacterial SSU rRNA". It matches the Rfam family "Bacterial small subunit ribosomal RNA", at positions 28 to 507 of the family's 1533-position model. The record is from RNAcentral.